UCCUGGAAUGGUUUUUUGUUUAAAUGUUUUUUCGCCUAAGGAUGGGUCUGCGGCCGAUUAGGUAGUUGGUUAGGUAACGGCUUACCAAGCCAUUGAUCGGUACGGGUUGUGAGAGCAAGAGCCCGGAGAUGGAACCUGAGACAAGGUUCCAGGCCCUACGGGGUGCAGCAGGCGCGAAACCUCCGCAAUGUGAGAAAUCGCGACGGGGGGAUCCCAAGUGCCAUUCUUAACGGGAUGGCUUUUCAUUAGUGUAAAGAGCUUUUGGAAUAAGGGCUGGGCAAGACCGGUGCCAGCCGCCGCGGUAACACCGGCAGCUCUAGUGGUAGCAGUUUUUAUUGGGCCUAAAGCGUCCGUAGCCGGUUUAAUAAGUCUCUGGUGAAAUCCUGUAGCUUAACUAUGGGAAUUGCUGGAGAUACUAUUAGACUUGAGACCGGGAGAGGUUAGAGGUACUCCCAGGGUAGAGGUGAAAUUCUGUAAUCCUGGGAGGACCGCCUGUUGCGAAGGCGUCUAACUGGAACGGUUCUGACGGUGAGGGACGAAAGCCAGGGGCGCGAACCGGAUUAGAUACCCGGGUAGUCCUAACCGUAAACGAUGCGGACUUGGUGUUGGGGUGGCUUUGAGCUGCUCCAGUGCCGAAGGGAAGCUGUUAAGUCCGCCGCCUGGGAAGUACGGUCGCAAGACUGAAACUUAA
This 691-nucleotide ribosomal RNA is filed under the name uncultured archaeon. Its description in RNAcentral is "bacterial SSU rRNA". It matches the Rfam family "Archaeal small subunit ribosomal RNA", at positions 168 to 859 of the family's 1478-position model. The record is from RNAcentral.